Molecule: signal recognition particle RNA, 297 nt
Filed under: Carlito syrichta (Philippine tarsier)
Lineage: Eukaryota; Metazoa; Chordata; Mammalia; Primates; Tarsiidae
Description: Metazoan signal recognition particle RNA (ENSTSYG00000027144.1)
Rfam family: Metazoan signal recognition particle RNA
About the family: The signal recognition particle (SRP) is a universally conserved ribonucleoprotein.
Source: RNAcentral
CGUGAGUAUGGUGGCUCACACCUGUAGUCUCAGCUACUUGGGAGGCUGAGACAGGAGGAUCACACGAGCCCAGGAGUUCUAGGCUCUAGUGCAGUAUUGCCAAUUGGGUGUCUACACUGAGUUCAGCAUCAAUAUGGUAACCUCCUGGGAGCAGGGAACCACCAGGUUGCCUAAGAUGGUGUGAACCUUCCCAGGUCGGAAACAGCAGGUCAAAACUCUCAUGUUAAUUAAUACUGGGAUUGCACUUGUGGAAAGCCACCGCACUCCAGCCUGGGCAACAUAGCAAGACCUGUCUCU